CGGCCCUACGGGGGGCAGCAGUGGGGGAUAUUGGACAAUGGGGGGAACCCUGAUCCAGCGACGCCGCGUGAGUGAAGAAGUAUUUCGGUAUGUAAAGCUCUGUCAGCAGGGAAGAAAGAAAUGACGGUACCUGACCAAGAAGCCCCGGCUAACUACGUGCCAGCAGCCGCGGUAAUACGUAGGGGGCAAGCGUUAUCCGGAUUUACUGGGUGUAAAGGGAGCGUAGACGGCAUAGCAAGUCUGAUGUGAAAGAUCGGGGCUCAACCCCGGGCCUGCAUUGGAAACUGUUAAGCUGGAGUACAGGG
This 305-nucleotide ribosomal RNA is filed under the name uncultured bacterium. RNAcentral's name for it is "bacterial SSU rRNA". It matches the Rfam family "Bacterial small subunit ribosomal RNA", at positions 334 to 653 of the family's 1533-position model. The record is from RNAcentral.